Molecule: ribosomal RNA, 495 nt
Filed under: uncultured bacterium
Lineage: Bacteria
Description: bacterial SSU rRNA
Rfam family: Bacterial small subunit ribosomal RNA
Source: RNAcentral
GAUCCUGGCUCAGAUUGAACGCUGGCGGCAUGCCUUACACAUGCAAGUCGAACGGCAGCGGGCCUUCGGGUGCCGGCGAGUGGCGAACGGGUGAGUAAUGCAUCGGAACGUGCCAUUGAGUGGGGGAUAACGUAGCGAAAGUUACGCUAAUACCGCAUAUUCUGUGAGCAGGAAAGCAGGGGACCGCAAGGCCUUGCGCUCUUUGAGCGGCCGAUGUCAGAUUAGCUAGUUGGCGAGGUAAAGGCUUACCAAGGCGACGAUCUGUAGCGGGUCUGAGAGGAUGAUCCGCCACACUGGAACUGAGACACGGUCCAGACUCCUACGGGAGGCAGCAGUGGGGAAUUUUGGACAAUGGGCGCAAGCCUGAUCCAGCCAUGCCGCGUGAGUGAAGAAGGCCUUCGAGUUGUAAAGCUCUUUCGGCCGGGAAGAAAUCGCAUGGGUUAAUACCCUGUGUGGAUGACGGUACCGGAAUAAGAAGCACCGGCUAACUACGUG